CCUACGGGAGGCAGCAGUGGGGAAUCUUAGACAAUGGGGGCAACCCUGAUCUAGCCAUGCCGCGUGAGUGAUGAAGGCCUUAGGGUCGUAAAGCUCUUUCGCCUGUGAUGAUAAUGACAGUAGCAGGUAAAGAAACCCCGGCUAACUCCGUGCCAGCAGCCGCGGUAAUACGGAGGGGGUUAGCGUUGUUCGGAAUUACUGGGCGUAAAGCGCGCGUAGGCGGAUUAGAAAGUUGGGGGUGAAAUCCCGGGGCUCAACCUCGGAACUGCCUCCAAAACUGCUAGUCUAGAGUUCGAGAGAGGUGAGUGGAAUUCCGAGUGUAGAGGUGAAAUUCGUAGAUAUUCGGAGGAACACCAGUGGCGAAGGCGGCUCACUGGCUCGAUACUGACGCUGAGGUGCGAAAGUGUGGGGAGCAAACAGGAUUAGAUACCCUGGUAGUCCACACCGUAAACGAUGAAUGCCAGUCGUCGGGUAGUAUACUAUUCGGUGACACACCUAACGGAUUAAGCAUUCCGCCUGGGGAGUACGGUCGCAAGAUUAAAACUCAAAGGAAUUGACGG
RNAcentral lists this ribosomal RNA (560 nucleotides) under uncultured Alphaproteobacteria bacterium. RNAcentral's name for it is "bacterial SSU rRNA". It matches the Rfam family "Bacterial small subunit ribosomal RNA", at positions 338 to 916 of the family's 1533-position model. Lineage: Bacteria; Pseudomonadati; Pseudomonadota; Alphaproteobacteria. The record is from RNAcentral. RNAcentral also lists the same sequence under 2 other names.